AUGCCUUAAACGUAUGAGUAAGGAAAAUAACGACCCGGGGUGACGCCCGGGUCCUCACUGCGAAUGUGAGAGGAAUUUUUGCGCGGGUACAGGUCGCCCCCAGGUGGCCCGCCUACUUCGCGGGAUGCCCGGGUGCUGCGAUCUGCCCG
RNAcentral lists this small nuclear RNA (149 nucleotides) under Buceros rhinoceros silvestris. RNAcentral's name for it is "U12 minor spliceosomal RNA". It matches the Rfam family "U12 minor spliceosomal RNA". Rfam says of the family: Although the U12 sequence is very divergent from that of U2, the two are functionally analogous. The record is from Rfam by way of RNAcentral. Lineage: Eukaryota; Metazoa; Chordata; Aves; Bucerotiformes; Bucerotidae.